AUCAGCCUUUCGGGUGCGAUUCUGUGGAGUUUGAGGAGCUUAACACCUUCAUGCUUUGCAUAUUCGUGCUCUUGGGUGUACUUGCCCGUGUGGUUGGUUAACAUCAAUUUUGGUGGUCAUAAAAUGACUGGAGGAAUGUAGCUUCGAUCUUGUAUUGAAGUGUUAUAGCCUUCGGUAGAUGUGAUGAUCGAGAUUGAGGAUUGCAACGGAUACCCUUCGGGGCUACCUGUCUGAUCUCUGAUCGUUGCUCUGGUGCCGAAAGCUUGCUUACGGUUAUCAAAGUCGAUGGUCAAUAGGUUAGAACGGGUUAAAUUCGUUAAGGAUGUUGACGUAAUGGCUUU
RNAcentral lists this ribosomal RNA (341 nucleotides) under uncultured Glomeromycotina. Its description in RNAcentral is "eukaryotic LSU rRNA". The record is from RNAcentral. Lineage: Eukaryota; Fungi; Glomeromycota.